This 253-nucleotide ribosomal RNA is filed under the name uncultured bacterium. Its description in RNAcentral is "partial 16S ribosomal RNA". It matches the Rfam family "Bacterial small subunit ribosomal RNA", at positions 524 to 776 of the family's 1533-position model. The record is from RNAcentral.
UACGUAGGGCGCAAGCGUUGUCCGGAAUUAUUGGGCGUAAAGAGCUCGUAGGCGGCUUGUCACGUCGGGUGUGAAAGCCCGGGGCUUAACCCCGGGUCUGCAUUCGAUACGGGCUAGCUAGAGUGUGGUAGGGGAGAUCGGAAUUCCUGGUGUAGCGGUGAAAUGCGUAGAUAUCUGCAGGAACACCCGUGGCGAAAGCGGCGCGCUGGACCACUACUGACGCUGAGGAACGAAAGCUAGGGGAGCAAACAGG